Long non-coding RNA from Mastomys coucha (southern multimammate mouse), 2081 nucleotides. RefSeq lists it as uncharacterized. The record is from RefSeq and is a predicted model, not a curated record. The transcript is spliced from 2 exons. NCBI's taxonomy places the organism in Eukaryota, Metazoa, Chordata, Mammalia, Rodentia, Muridae.
AGAAAUUAAAUAGAAAAUUCUCUGCAUCUCUGCUAUACCCGCCCCUUCCCAACAGUAUGAUUUAAAUAACCCGUGCUUAUUAUGCACAUAUGUGUUUCCUAAGGCAGGUAGGUUUCUUAGCUCGACCUUUAAAUGGAGUGGCUUCUUAAGUUCCUUCUGCAGAGAACUGCCACCACUCUCUUUCUGCCUCGUCCUCAGGCUUUCGUUUUAAAUCUUCUCCCCCUAGGUUCAAACCAUCCUGGCUGUUUGGAUUUUCCAAAAGUCUAUGGCCAGCCAGAUGCUACCCUGUGGUAGGGUUGUUCCCUAAGGGAACUGGCACCGUCCAGAGACAUCCGGGUCCAUCAUGGGGCAGCUGUCCCAGGACAGCAGCAAAUUGUGCUGGUCCCCAGGCCCCUCUCUGCACAAUCCUUUAAAACCACCACCACCACCACCACCACAAAGUCAAAACCCACCCCCUUGAGAAACUACCCAUGGAGAGCUCCUGGCUGGAGAACACAGCCUCUGUGGCAAUGUGACAGGUGUGGCUUGUCAUAACCCAUCCGUGCUCACACAACAUCGUGUGGCUUGCCCAGCUGCCUCCAGGCCCCAUACACACCUGUCUGUGUCAAGAGCUACCAGUGGCUUCUCAUCAGGGCUCUGGUCAAGCGAGGAGUAGCCUUUAUUAGGGACGACCAGCCUGGGUAAAAAAUGGGGAGUUGGAGUACCAGCUGGAGCAUAUAAACAGGACAUGGGGUCUCCCUCUCACUGCUAUCCCUCCUCCGCCCCCCUGGAUUCCUCUGAGAACGGAGAGGGUGGAGACCAGCAAUGGGCUGCCCAUGCUGCCAUUCUUCAGGGAACCCUUCCGGGCCAGCUCCCUUUGCUUCUCUGCAGAAAACAUGGGAAAGAAGCUGUGUCCUGCCCAGUGGCUGCCAUGCCACGCUGCUGGGGGCAGCCUGGUCUGGGCCUUUCUUCUAGACAUGCACUUCUCGACUUGGUAGAGAUCCCGUGGACCUCCAGGGACCUGAUGCUCCGUGGACAUGCACUGGGCCUUGCAUAACUGAGGUACACAGUGGCAGCCAAAAAGAGGAGACUGGCCCCUACCCUGUGGGGACCACAGUUCCUAUGGCAGGGAAGGCUGGAGAGGAAGAGAUGAACACAGAUGGCUGAAGCAGUCAAAGAGGCCGUUACAAAGGGAGGAGGACAUUAAGGGGGAAAGUAUGUACACAAGCAACACAAGAGAACACAGCUGUGGAUGUGAAUGAACAGAGGGAGAAGAGGUGAUAAAGAGAUGAACUUGGAAAAGGUGCCAUUCAUUCAGUUAGUUAUUCACUCAAUAAAUACUAGAAUUGCAACUAUGCAUCACAUACUAUAUCACAGGGAUGGAAGGCUGCCAGUGGUUAAAAACUCAGAGCACACACAGAGACCCCCAUCUCCAAAAACAAAACAAAACAAAACAACCCCCCCCCCAAAACCAGAAAAACCAAAAACAAGAGAAAACAACCAAACCGUCAGAGUGCAAAGGCCUUGGCCAUGGGACUGAGGCGUUUGGGAUUGAUGAGGAUGGAAAAGGAGCUACUAAGGGGAAGAAAGGGACCUUGGUCAGGAUAGGGCAGGAGGCUGAGAAACCAGUCUGCUCGGAGCCCCUGCGCUGUGGGGCUGGUGACCUACUAUGUGGUGCGUAUGACUGGGAACUGGCGACCUACUAUGUGGUACGUAUGACUAUAGGAACUGCCUUUCAUACUAAUGUCAAGUGAAGCCAUGAUGUAGGAAAAAGGCUUGUUCCAUGAUAGAAACAUGGCGUCGGGUGUGGGUGGGUGUCUCUUUAGUGUAACUGUGGGAGGAGCCAUUGCAGCACCUGUGAGUCCCUUGAAAAUGAUCUCCGAUUUCCACAUCUUUGAAGUUUCCUACCCUCUGACCUCUUUGCCUCUGUUUUAGUUUUCCAGCCUCUCCAAAUGCCAUUACCAUAUCAAGCCUCUAGGGGGUGCAAUUUGCCUUACAGUUCUUGGUAAUUUUCUUUAUCUCAAGUGAGACAAGUUGUGAAUUUUCAUGAGCUUUGGUGGUGAAACAACAGUGAAGGAAAUAAAAAUGUUAUUUUAGAAGCA